Molecule: ribosomal RNA, 465 nt
Filed under: uncultured bacterium
Lineage: Bacteria
Description: partial 16S ribosomal RNA
Rfam family: Bacterial small subunit ribosomal RNA
Source: RNAcentral
GACGAACGCUGGCGGCGUGCUUAACACAUGCAAGUCGAACGGAAAGGCCCUGCUUGCAGGGUACUCGAGUGGCGAACGGGUGAGUAACACGUGGGUAAUCUGCCCUGCACUUCGGGAUAAGCCUGGGAAACUGGGUCUAAUACCGGAUAGGAGCCAUUUUUAGUGUGAUGGUUGGAAAGUUUUUUCGGUGUAGGAUGAGCUCGCGGCCUAUCAGCUUGUUGGUGGGGUAAUGGCCUACCAAGGCGGCGACGGGUAGCCGGCCUGAGAGGGUGGACGGCCACAUUGGGACUGAGAUACGGCCCAGACUCCUACGGGAGGCAGCAGUGGGGAAUAUUGCACAAUGGGCGCAAGCCUGAUGCAGCGACGCCGCGUGGGGGAUGACGGCCUUCGGGUUGUAAACUCCUUUCGCUAGGGACGAAGCUUUUUGUGACGGUACCUAGAUAAGAAGCACCGGCUAACUGCGUG